GAAAUGCGAUACGUAAUGCGAAUUGCAGAAUUCAGUGAAUCAUCAAAUCUUUGAACGCAACUUGCGCUCUCAGGUAGCCCUGGGAGCAUGCUUCUUUGAGUGUCGUUUCCAACCAAACUCGUCUGCGUACUUUCGGGUACAAGGACGGAAAAUGAGAGUCAGGUUAGUAACUACUGACUUGUCUCUUUAAGUGCCACGCACUUUCGAUCCGCUGGUUGAAAGGUCGCAGGUCGAACCUUUAACUAACUGGCUGAUGUUUGAUAAUUGUCCAAUCGGACAUCCUCAUCAACAUCGGGCGGGAAGGUGAGACUAGCGUUACUUGGGACCCCCGUGUUCCUAGACUGGAGGCAUAGAAUAGUGCUUAACCAACUUUUGAAUUUGACCUCAGAUGAAGCAAGAC
RNAcentral lists this unclassified non-coding RNA (400 nucleotides) under uncultured fungus. Its description in RNAcentral is "sequence contains ITS1". The stretch from base 1 to 105 matches the Rfam family "5.8S ribosomal RNA", at positions 50 to 154 of the family's 154-position model. Lineage: Eukaryota; Fungi. The record is from RNAcentral.